Molecule: unclassified non-coding RNA, 247 nt
Filed under: uncultured Pleosporales
Lineage: Eukaryota; Fungi; Ascomycota; Dothideomycetes; Pleosporales
Description: sequence contains 5.8S rRNA gene, ITS2, 28S rRNA gene
Source: RNAcentral
AACGCACAUUGCGCCCCUUGGUAUUCCAUGGGGCAUGCCUGUUCGAGCGUCAUUUACACCCUCAAGCUCUGCUUGGUGUUGGAUGUCUGUCCCGCCUCGGCGCGUGGACUCGUCCCAAAGGCAUUGGCAGCGGUCUUUUGCACCUCUCGCGCAGCACAUUGCGCUUCUCGAGGCGGCGAGGUCGCGUCCAUCAAGCUCACAUACCGUCUUUGACCUCGGAUCAGGUAGGGAUACCCGCUGAACUUAA